GUCUAUGGCCACACCACCCUGAAUGCUCCCGAUCUUGUCUGAUCUCUGAAGCUAAGCAGGCUCGGGCCUGGCUUAUACUUGGAUGGGAAUAUGUAUUUUCUUCAAGGUUGCAUCUUGAUGUAAUUCUGGUAACAGUGA
Molecule: ribosomal RNA, 138 nt
Organism: Vicugna pacos (alpaca)
Lineage: Eukaryota; Metazoa; Chordata; Mammalia; Artiodactyla; Camelidae
Source: Ensembl